AUUGAACGCUGGCGGCAGGCCUAACACAUGCAAGUCGAGCGGAUGAAGGGAGCUUGCUCCUGGAUUCAGCGGCGGACGGGUGAGUAAUGCCUAGGAAUCUGCCUGGUAGUGGGGGAUAACGUCCGGAAACGGGCGCUAAUACCGCAUACGUCCUGAGGGAGAAAGUGGGGGAUCUUCGGACCUCACGCUAUCAGAUGAGCCUAGGUCGGAUUAGCUAGUUGGUGGGGUAAAGGCCUACCAAGGCGACGAUCCGUAACUGGUCUGAGAGGAUGAUCAGUCAAAUGGAAAUGGAACCAGGGCCCAUACCCCGGCGGUAGGGACAAGGGGGAAAUUGGGGACAAGGGGGGAAACUUUGACCCACCCGUCGGGGGGGGGGGAAGAGGGUGUGGGGAUUGAAAGCCCUUUUAUGGGGGGGGAAAGGGCAGUAAUUUAAUACCUUGCUUUUUGGACGUAACAAAAAAAAAAAGCACCGGCUAACUUCGUG
This 484-nucleotide ribosomal RNA is filed under the name uncultured bacterium. Its description in RNAcentral is "partial 16S ribosomal RNA". It matches the Rfam family "Bacterial small subunit ribosomal RNA", at positions 29 to 507 of the family's 1533-position model. The record is from RNAcentral.